RNAcentral lists this ribosomal RNA (513 nucleotides) under uncultured bacterium. RNAcentral describes it as "bacterial SSU rRNA". It matches the Rfam family "Bacterial small subunit ribosomal RNA", at positions 8 to 526 of the family's 1533-position model. The record is from RNAcentral.
AGAGUUUGAUCCUGGCUCAGAAUAAACGCUGGCGGCGUGCUUAACACAUGCAAGUCGAGCGAGAAAGUCCUUCGGGAUGAGUACAGCGGCGAACGAGUGAGUAACGCGUAAGAAUCUGCCUUUUAGUGAAGAAUACCCCUGAGAAAUCGGGGUUAAUGCUGCAUACGUCCUACGGGAGAAAGAUGGCCUCCUUGCUGUCGCUAAAAGAUGAGCUUGCGUACUAUUAGUUAGUUGGUGAGGUAAUGGCUCACCAAGACGAUGAUGGUUAGCCGGCCUGAGAGGGUGUACGGCCACGCUGGAACUUAGACACGGUCCAGACUCCUACGGGAGGCAGCAGUGGGGAAUAUUGCGCAAUGGGCGAAAGCCUGACGCAGCGACGCCGCGUGGAGGAUGAAGGUCUUUGGAUUGUAACUCCUGUUUAAGUGGAAGAAAAACCUUUUUUUAAUAGAAAGAGGCUGACGGUACCAUAGAGAAAGCACCGAGCUAAUCUUGUGCCAGCAGCCGCGGUAAUAC